RNAcentral lists this ribosomal RNA (497 nucleotides) under uncultured bacterium. RNAcentral describes it as "partial 16S ribosomal RNA". It matches the Rfam family "Bacterial small subunit ribosomal RNA", at positions 28 to 507 of the family's 1533-position model. The record is from RNAcentral.
GAUGAACGCUGGCGGCGUGCCUAAUACAUGCAAGUCGGGCGAACAGAUGAGGAGCUUGCUCCUCUGACGUUAGCGGCGGACGGGUGAGUAACACGUGGAUAACCUACCUAUAAGACUGGGAUAACUUCGGGAAACCGGAGCUAAUACCGGAUAAUAUAUUGAACCGCAUGGUUCAAUAGUGAAAGACGGUUUUGCUGUCACUUAUAGAUGGAUCCGCGCCGCAUUAGCUAGUUGGUAAGGUAACGGCUUACCAAGGCAACGAUGCGUAGCCGACCUGAGAGGGUGAUCGGCCACACUGGAACUGAGACACGGUCCAGACUCCUACGGGAGGCACCAGUAGGGAAUCUUCCGCAAUGGGCGAAAGCCUGACGGAGCAACGCCGCGUGAGUGAUGAAGGUCUUCGGAUCGUAAAACUCUGUUAUUAGGGAAGAACAAAUGUGUAAGUAACUAUGCACGUCUUGACGGUACCUAAUCAGAAAGCCACGGCUAACUACGUG